AUAACCGUCUGCGUCAACAUCGUUAGAAUCUGGGAAGCUAACGCUACAUGGUUUUAAGUCAUAAAGUUAGGGCACUAGAAUUUGAUAUCCUGGUGUAUUUCCUUAAAAUUGAAAGCUUGUGCACACUGUAAGGAACUUGCCUUGGAGCCAAGAGUCAUGCACACAACUCCAAAACCUACUGGCUCUGUGUCUUGGUGAUACUCGCCUCCGGUAGAGGAAACCUGUUCCUCUCCAAGGUAGCAUGUAAAGGGAGUGAAGCCAUGUUUGCAUGCGAGUGUACCCUGGCUCUGUGGUGCACUGCUCCUAUAGGACAGACUGGCUGCAGUCUGAACAGUGUUCCUAUGGUGCCAUUCCUCUCCCUGUGGUGGCAUGGAGUUCCUUGCUCCACCAAGAGAGAGGCCAGCACAGUACAUCGCCGUGAUGACCUUCUGAAGGAUGGUCACCCGUGUCAGAGUGCAAAGAUGGGACCCUUAGCUUGGGGUUUCAGAAGCGAGUGCCACGUGAGGAAUUCGAGAACUACUUGUGUGGCAUUCACCGUGACCCUGACUGUGGAGGUCAUGCUGU
This 564-nucleotide long non-coding RNA is filed under the name Rattus norvegicus (Norway rat). RNAcentral describes it as "long non-coding RNA NONRATT023967". Lineage: Eukaryota; Metazoa; Chordata; Mammalia; Rodentia; Muridae. The record is from RNAcentral.